This 468-nucleotide ribosomal RNA is filed under the name uncultured bacterium. RNAcentral's name for it is "partial 16S ribosomal RNA". It matches the Rfam family "Bacterial small subunit ribosomal RNA", at positions 28 to 507 of the family's 1533-position model. The record is from RNAcentral.
GACGAACGCUGGCGGCGUGCUUAACACAUGCAAGUCGAACGGAAGGGCGCUGAUUUUGUGGGGCGCUCGAGUGGCGAACGGGUGAGUAUCACGUGAGUAUCCUGCCCUUGUAUUUGGGAUAACUUCUGGAGACUGCGGCUAAUAUCGGAUAGGAGCUUUUGCUGCAUGGUGGGGGUUGGUAAGUUUCGGCGGUUGGGGAUGGACUCGAGGCUUAUCAGCUUGUUGGUGGGGUAGUGGCUUACCAAGGUUUUGACGGGUAGCCCGCCUGGGAGGGUGGCCAGCCACAAGGGGACUACGGUACGGCCCAGACUCCAACGGGAGGCAGCAGUGGGGAGUAUUGCGCAAUGGGCGGAAGCGUGAGACAGCAGCGCCGCGUGCGGGAUGACGUCCUUCGAGUGGUAAACCGAUUUCGCCUGAGACGAAGCGUGAGUGACGGUAAUGGGUAAAGAAGCACCGGCUAACUACGUG